AAUUGUUCUGUUUUACAUUUUUUCAUCAUUAUUUCCACAUUGAAGUGUUACAAGGAGCUUUGUUGAAACAUAUGUCGAUAUACAUCCAGUCCGCCACCAGAUGCCGCUGUUCUGUGUGGUUUCAAAGCCCUGAAUGGGUGGUUCAUUUUUCUUACACAAUUAGAUGAACCCCAGUGAGUAGGGAUGGCCCGUUUGACAUUGGGCUUCGGCGCGCGGUUCACCGUCAUGAAACAGAGUGUUUCGGCACAAUGUUUCGAAGCGUGUGUCAACCAGCGCAGAUCAAGUGAUUGAUGACGUAUGACGCGCCAAAUGCAUCAUUCACCUGAACCAGGUUUCAGAUCUCAGGUGUGUUUGAUCAGAAGGGCGCGCUGUUGUCUAUAAAUACAGAUGAAUCCCAAACAACGUUUCCCGACCAGUUCUGUUGUUUCCCGUGUAUCGUAAGAAUCAACAUCAUGGCACCCGGUAAAAAACGUUCUGUGGCUUGGGAUCAUUUCAACUUGAUUUCUCCAAAUAAGGUAAUACACUAUUAACGUUAUUUUAUUAGUAGCCAUUGCUGAUUAUGUCAGUUUUAUAGGUAUGUCUGUCAGUUGAAAGGAAUCAUUUUUAUUCUUUCCAUUUCUUUUUUAGGUGCAAUGUUUGAUUUGCAAACAUGAAUUUGCAUUUAAUGACAGUACAUCCUCCAUGAUGCGACAUCUCCGCUCCGUUCCUCAUGUUGAAACUCCGCAGUCUGCAAAUCAAGCCUUCAAUCCACCUCAUAUUGUGUCAAGAAAGCAAGAACUUGAUUCUGCAUUGGUGGAUAUGAUUGUAAUGGAUGCACAACCAUUUUCAAUUGUUGAAGAGAAAGGCUUCAAGGUAAGGUGGCUAAUAUUAUAUAGCAUUUACAUUAUUUAUGUUUUUGUGUACAUAAUAAGCUGUAUUUUUUUGUCACUAUUAGGCUUUUGUCAACCUUUUGGACCCAUCCUACAUAAAACAAUGGUGGAGGAGAAGUACAAAGCCAAAAAGGAGAAGGCCUUAGAUGUGGUUAGCAGGGCCUCUGCUGUCAGCCUUACAGCAGACAUGUGGACAUCCAUUAACAUGGACGCUUACUUGGCUGUAACAUGCCAUUUUAUCACCGAGGAGGUAGGUAUCCCCUGCUUUGUGCAAUGCUUUGGUUUAUGUAUCUCAGUUUGACUUUGUUCAUUCUAGGUGGAGCUGGCCUCUGUGGUAUUGGGGGUUCUGAAGUUUCCCCAAACCCACACUGCAGCUCACUUGGCUGAGGCCAAAAAUCUUCUCAUGGAAGAAUGGGGAAUUAAAGGGAAGGUGACAGGCCUGGUUACAGACUGUGCUCCCAACAUGGUUGCAUGUGCUAAUAUAUUACUGCUUCGGCACAUAAUGUGUUUUGCACAUAUGCUUAAUUUGGUGGUGAAAAAGUCCCUUGCCCAAACCCCUGAACUAGAGGAUAUCCGAAGUAAGGGGCGUAGGAUUGUCGGUCUUUUUAAAUCCAGCACCACAGCGAAGGAGAAGCUGUCAGAGAUGCAGCGACAGCUGGCCAGGCCAGAGCACAAAUUAAUACAAGAGGUGAAACAUUUUCUUUUUUUUUUUAUCUAAGAUUUUACAUGUUUUUGCAGUUGUUUAUUGUGUUACUUUCUUCUCUCCUUUAAAACGUGCUUGCUGUCUUAUCUUAGGUGGAAACGAGAUGGAACAGCACAUUUAAUAUGUUGGAAAGGCUGUUUAAGGAGAGAGAACCACUGGGGGCAGCUCUGGCCACCCUCCAUACAGACCUUCCUCCACUCACCUCAGAGGACUACCAGGCCAUACACCACUGCUUGAGCAUUCUUUCACCGUUUCAAGAGCUUUCGACAGAAAAACGAGUGUCAGCAUCCAAAGUCAUUCCCAUGGUCAAAAUGCUGAAACAUUACAUCUCAAGCAGGUGUGGUCAGAUCACACACCCACUUGGUGAAAAACUGGCCACUAACUUGAAGAACAAUCUCCAUGAGAGGUUUUCAGCUCUGGAGAAGGUCACUGCUCUGUCAAUGGCAACCUUGUUGGACCCAAGGUUUAAAGAGCUGGGGUUCUGCAGCCAAGGCUCUGCCCACACGGCCAUAGAGCGACUCACUAAAGAGUGUGCUGCAACAAUGCAGGUGCUACUUCCAGAGGCACAGCCACAGUCGCCACCUAGAGAAGGUCCUUCAAGUCAGCAGGAAGAUGGUCUCUGGGCCCUGCUGGACAGGCAUGUGGGGGUUCAACAGCAGGUGACCAGCACAACUGCCAGUGCAACAGUGGAGGUUCAGAGGUACUUAAAGGAACCUCACAUCCCAAGGACUCAGGACCCACUGAGAUACUGGGUUACCCACAAGGUUUUAUACCCACAUCUCUACAAGCUGGCAAUGAAGAUUUUAUGCACACCAGCUUCAUCUGUGCCUUGUGAGAGGAUGUUCUCCAAGGCUGGCGAAAUCGUCAGCCAAAGACGAAACAGGCUGAAGCCCAGCACAGUGGAGAAAAUUCUGUUUUUAAAUAAAAAUCUAUAACAUGUAUCCCACCCAGUCAUGUUAGACCCUGGUUCACAAUCACUCAUUCUCACUUUAUACAUAGCAUUCACAAUGUAACACAAGCACUUCUCACAAAUCUUCAAACAUUGUCUUUGUUUUAUUUCCACACUGAAGUGUUACAAGGGCAAGGAACUUAGUGGAGUAGAUGAUAUACGUCCUGUCUGCCACCAGUUGCCGCUGUUCUGUGUGGUUUCGAAGCCCCAAAUGCUUCAUUCAUUUUUCUGGCACAUUUACACGAAGCCCCAUGAAGCUCUCAUGGGGCUUCGAUUCCCAUCCCUACCAGUGAGGCUUCAUGGGGCUUCUAUUCCCAUCCCUAGUAAAAGGACUCAAAUGAUUAAAAGCUUUAGUAAAAAGGUCCACAUGUCAAGCUCACCCACCAAGGCCAAACCAGGAAACCAGCAUCCAGAUGGAACUCCCACAGCUGCUAUUUAUCAGCCUUGUGAGCCAAUCACAGCUCAACAGACAGGUGCUGGCCAUGAAUAUUAACCUAUGGAACACCAUGAGGGACAAACUACCACCCACAGCCCUGUCUGCCACAUGAGGAUGUUAUCAAGAAGGGACAACAGUAGGGAAAGGGACUGAACCAAGUGAACAGCUUCCUCUCUUCAGCAGACACAUGUUCCGAGUACAAGUGUGUCAAAAGCUGACAUUCUCACCGUUCAGGCCGUUGAUUGGAACAAGCGGAAGCCAGAAAAGUUGGACCAGACAUUACCAAAAUGAUACUCCCAGGUAAAGAAAUGAGCAGCAUUGUAGAUAAAGGGAUCUGUUCCCACAAGGAUCAAUCAUAAUGACCUUGAAGGACAUUGAAGGACUUUAUCUGAGCCUCAGGAAAACAAGUACCAGCUGUUUCAUCAACAUACGUGUGAUGAAUUGCAGAUUUUGGUGCCAUAAUAAAAAAAAAGGCUUUAUGAUGUCAUGCUGCUGACCAUACUGUGAUCGGUGAAGUCCAGCAGUGCUGGGGGUCCUUGAAGUGUUGUUUGAGAGCAUCUCCUCCCUGCUUCUGGAAGGUAUAGCCCAGCAAAGCCAGGAAGUUUUCUCUUUGUAAUUUGUAUGGAUGUCCAGGGCUUGUAGCACUUAUGUGUUUUCCUCUUUAAUUCUUAGGCAGCACAGAGGCAUUAAUGGAGUGAGGACGUGAGGGACUAACUGUCUGCUGAGGAGGAGAUCAUGUACAGUGCCAGCAAAAGUAUUUGGCCCCCUUGAACUUUGCAACCUUUUGCCACAUUUCAGGCUUCAAACACAAAAAUAUAAAGCUGACAUUUUUUGUGA
Molecule: non-coding RNA, 3794 nt
Organism: Oryzias latipes (Japanese medaka)
Lineage: Eukaryota; Metazoa; Chordata; Actinopteri; Beloniformes; Adrianichthyidae
Source: RefSeq, a predicted model, not a curated record